UUGCAGUGAUGACUAUCUUAGGACACCUUUGGAUUGAAGAUGAAACUAAUUUGUUAAUCUGAGCAGC
This is a small nucleolar RNA of Xiphias gladius (swordfish), 67 nucleotides long. RefSeq annotates it as small nucleolar RNA SNORD58. Lineage: Eukaryota; Metazoa; Chordata; Actinopteri; Istiophoriformes; Xiphiidae. The transcript has a single exon. The record is from RefSeq and is a predicted model, not a curated record.